GCAGUAACCACUAGCAUAGAUGACUGGAGGCUCACCACGUGUCAGGCGCUGUGUAAGCCCUUUGCAUGGAUUAUCUCAAUCCUCACAACCCUGUGAGGACAGCAGGAACCUGCUAGUUGGGCUACCUCUGAACUCUCUGGACCUCAGGAACUAGAAGGGCUGCAAGAAACAUUGGUUUGAAGCAUUAUGAAUCCUCCCGGGCUCCCUAGAGCUUUCAGAACCAAGGCCCUUUGGAUCAGCUCACAGGACACAGGAGCUUCAGGAUCUGGUCAACUUCUCCAGGCUCAUCUUGUGCUAGACCCCCACCCACUGCCUUAGCUCCAGACAUUCUGGAUGACCAGCAGUUCCUUGAAUACACUGUGCUCUUCUUACCACUGUUCUGGUCUUUUUAGAUACUUUUGCCUGCCUCAACUGCCCAUUUCCCCUUCAUCAAGUUAAUUCAUCUAUGUCUUUCAAAACUCCACUUAAGCAUCCAGAGCCUUCCCUGACAUCUGCCCCACUCCCUGCUGCCCAUCAUGUGCUCCUCUGUGACUCCCCGGCAUUUUGUGCUCCACAUUUACAAGGCUGUCUCUCCCAUAGACUGGAUGCUUUUCGGAGACAGGGAUCACGUCUUAUUGGACAUUAUCUUCCCAUGAAGCCUAGCACAGAGAGAAAAUACCCAGCGAAUGUUGAAUAAAUUCCUCUUGGAUGACUGCUCA
Herpailurus yagouaroundi (jaguarundi) is the source of this 698-nucleotide long non-coding RNA. RefSeq lists it as uncharacterized. The transcript has 2 exons. Lineage: Eukaryota; Metazoa; Chordata; Mammalia; Carnivora; Felidae. The record is from RefSeq and is a predicted model, not a curated record.